CAUCGCUCUUCGUGAAAAAAAAAUAAAGAGUCGAACCUGCCCAGUGAAUUUUUUUUAACGGCCGCGGUACUCUGACCGUGCAAAGGUAGCAUAAUCACUUGCCUUAUAAUUGAAGGCUAGUAUGAAUGGUCUGACGAGAGCAACUCUGUCUCCUUUUUAUUUUCUAGAAUUUGACUUUCAGGUGAAGAGGCCUGAAUUUUAUUGAAGGACAAGAAGACCCUGUCGAGCUUAAAAAACUAACAGAAGUACCUAUAUUAUUCAUAAAUAUAUAACUAUUAAUCUUUUUUGGUUGGGGCGACCAAGGAACAAAAAAAGCUUCCUUUUAACUUAUAAACUUAUUCGUUUUGAUCCAGCUAAAGCUGAUUAAAAGAAUUAGUUACCGCAGGGAUAACAGCAUAAUCUCUCUUGAGAGACCAAAUCGAAAGGGGGGGUUGUGACCUCGAUGUUGGACUAGAAUAUCCUAAAGAUGCAGAAGUCUUAAAGGUGUCGUCUGUUCGACCAUUAAAAUUCUAC
Molecule: ribosomal RNA, 513 nt
Filed under: Vermicularia pellucida
Lineage: Eukaryota; Metazoa; Mollusca; Gastropoda; Turritellidae
Description: partial large subunit ribosomal RNA
Rfam family: Bacterial large subunit ribosomal RNA
Source: RNAcentral